ACGCUCGACACCUACGGGAGCAGCAGUAGGGAAUCUUCCACAAUGGACGCAAGUCUGAUGGAGCAACGCCGCGUGAGUGAAGAAGGUUUUCGGAUCGUAAAGCUCUGUUGUUGGUGAAGAAGGAUAGAGGUAGUAACUGGCCUUUAUUUGACGGUAAUCAACCAGAAAGUCACGGCUAACUACGUGCCNGCAGCCGCGGUAAUCUGAGCGGGCUGGCAAGGC
Molecule: ribosomal RNA, 222 nt
Filed under: uncultured bacterium
Lineage: Bacteria
Description: partial 16S ribosomal RNA
Rfam family: Bacterial small subunit ribosomal RNA
Source: RNAcentral